This 331-nucleotide unclassified non-coding RNA is filed under the name fungal sp. Its description in RNAcentral is "partial internal transcribed spacer region". The stretch from base 1 to 46 matches the Rfam family "Eukaryotic small subunit ribosomal RNA", at positions 1786 to 1831 of the family's 1831-position model. The record is from RNAcentral. Lineage: Eukaryota; Fungi.
AAGUCGUAACAAGGUUUCCGUAGGUGAACCUGCGGAAGGAUCAUUAUUACGUAUCCACGUAUAAACCAAAUGUGAAUUGUUUUCCGCUCUUUGUCGAGGUUAAUGGCUUGGUUGCGCUACGUUCCAUGUUAGUUGGAACAGUAAUCAAGUCGCCACCUUGUGUGGAACUUUGACAUUGAGUUCGGUUAUCACUAACAUCAAUUUUUAUUAACCUUUUGUACUUAACUUCGAACUAACUAUGUUUCGCGUUUCGUGGACUCUUCGGAGCUCAUGGACCCGAAAUCUAUUUACGUAACUUGAACAACUCUUAGCAACGGAUAUCUUGGCUCUC